RNAcentral lists this ribosomal RNA (1943 nucleotides) under Escherichia coli. Its description in RNAcentral is "partial 23S ribosomal RNA". It matches the Rfam family "Bacterial large subunit ribosomal RNA", at positions 296 to 2236 of the family's 2925-position model. Lineage: Bacteria; Pseudomonadati; Pseudomonadota; Gammaproteobacteria; Enterobacterales; Enterobacteriaceae. The record is from RNAcentral.
CCAGAGCCUGAAUCAGUGUGUGUGUUAGUGGAAGCGUCUGGAAAGGCGCGCGAUACAGGGUGACAGCCCCGUACACAAAAAUGCACAUGCUGUGAGCUCGAUGAGUAGGGCGGGACACGUGGUAUCCUGUCUGAAUAUGGGGGGACCAUCCUCCAAGGCUAAAUACUCCUGACUGACCGAUAGUGAACCAGUACCGUGAGGGAAAGGCGAAAAGAACCCCGGCGAGGGGAGUGAAAAAGAACCUGAAACCGUGUACGUACAAGCAGUGGGAGCACGCUUAGGCGUGUGACUGCGUACCUUUUGUAUAAUGGGUCAGCGACUUAUAUUCUGUAGCAAGGUUAACCGAAUAGGGGAGCCGAAGGGAAACCGAGUCUUAACUGGGCGUUAAGUUGCAGGGUAUAGACCCGAAACCCGGUGAUCUAGCCAUGGGCAGGUUGAAGGUUGGGUAACACUAACUGGAGGACCGAACCGACUAAUGUUGAAAAAUUAGCGGAUGACUUGUGGCUGGGGGUGAAAGGCCAAUCAAACCGGGAGAUAGCUGGUUCUCCCCGAAAGCUAUUUAGGUAGCGCCUCGUGAAUUCAUCUCCGGGGGUAGAGCACUGUUUCGGCAAGGGGGUCAUCCCGACUUACCAACCCGAUGCAAACUGCGAAUACCGGAGAAUGUUAUCACGGGAGACACACGGCGGGUGCUAACGUCCGUCGUGAAGAGGGAAACAACCCAGACCGCCAGCUAAGGUCCCAAAGUCAUGGUUAAGUGGGAAACGAUGUGGGAAGGCCCAGACAGCCAGGAUGUUGGCUUAGAAGCAGCCAUCAUUUAAAGAAAGCGUAAUAGCUCACUGGUCGAGUCGGCCUGCGCGGAAGAUGUAACGGGGCUAAACCAUGCACCGAAGCUGCGGCAGCGACGCUGAUGCGUUGUUGGGUAGGGGAGCGUUCUGUAAGCCUGCGAAGGUGUGCUGUGAGGCAUGCUGGAGGUAUCAGAAGUGCGAAUGCUGACAUAAGUAACGAUAAAGCGGGUGAAAAGCCCGCUCGCCGGAAGACCAAGGGUUCCUGUCCAACGUUAAUCGGGGCAGGGUGAGUCGACCCCUAAGGCGAGGCCGAAAGGCGUAGUCGAUGGGAAACAGGUUAAUAUUCCUGUACUUGGUGUUACUGCGAAGGGGGGACGGAGAAGGCUAUGUUGGCCGGGCGACGGUUGUCCCGGUUUAAGCGUGUAGGCUGGUUUUCCAGGCAAAUCCGGAAAAUCAAGGCUGAGGCGUGAUGACGAGGCACUACGGUGCUGAAGCAACAAAUGCCCUGCUUCCAGGAAAAGCCUCUAAGCAUCAGGUAACAUCAAAUCGUACCCCAAACCGACACAGGUGGUCAGGUAGAGAAUACCAAGGCGCUUGAGAGAACUCGGGUGAAGGAACUAGGCAAAAUGGUGCCGUAACUUCGGGAGAAGGCACGCUGAUAUGUAGGUGAAGUCCCUCGCGGAUGGAGCUGAAAUCAGUCGAAGAUACCAGCUGGCUGCAACUGUUUAUUAAAAACACAGCACUGUGCAAACACGAAAGUGGACGUAUACGGUGUGACGCCUGCCCGGUGCCGGAAGGUUAAUUGAUGGGGUUAGCGCAAGCGAAGCUCUUGAUCGAAGCCCCGGUAAACGGCGGCCGUAACUAUAACGGUCCUAAGGUAGCGAAAUUCCUUGUCGGGUAAGUUCCGACCUGCACGAAUGGCGUAAUGAUGGCCAGGCUGUCUCCACCCGAGACUCAGUGAAAUUGAACUCGCUGUGAAGAUGCAGUGUACCCGCGGCAAGACGGAAAGACCCCGUGAACCUUUACUAUAGCUUGACACUGAACAUUGAGCCUUGAUGUGUAGGAUAGGUGGGAGGCUUUGAAGUGUGGACGCCAGUCUGCAUGGAGCCGACCUUGAAAUACCACCCUUUAAUGUUUGAUGUUCUAACGUUGACCCGU